AGUCGAACGAGAAUCACUGGAAGGAGUUUUCGGACAACGGAAGGUGAGGACAGUGGCGGACGGGUGAGUAACGCGUGAGGAACCUGCCUUUCAGAGGGGGACAACAGUUGGAAACGACUGCUAAUACCGCAUGACACAUAGAGAUCGCAUGGUUUUUAUGUCAAAGAUUUAUCGCUGAAAGAUGGCCUCGCGUCUGAUUAGCUAGUUGGUGAGGUAACGGCCCACCAAGGCGACGAUCAGUAGCCGGACUGAGAGGUUGACCGGCCACAUUGGGACUGAGAUACGGCCCAGACUCCUACGGGAGGCAGCAGUGGGGAAUAUUGGGCAAUGGGCGCAAGCCUGACCCAGCAACGCCGCGUGAAGGAAGAAGGCUUUCGGGUUGUAAACUUCUUUUGUCGGGGACGAGUAGAAGACGGUACCUGGCGAAUAAGCCACGGCUAACUACGUGCCAGCAGCCGCGGUAAUACGUAGGUGGCAAGCGUUGUCCGGAUUUACUGGGUGUAAAGGGCGUGUAGCCGGGAAGGCAAGUCAGGUGUGAAAUCCACGGGCUUAACUCGUGAACUGCAUUUGAAACUACUUUUCUUGAGUAUCGGAGAGGCAAUCGGAAUUCCUAGUGUAGCGGUGAAAUGCGUAGAUAUUAGGAGGAACACCAGUGGCGAAGGCGGAUUGCUGGACGACAACUGACGGUGAGGCGCGAAA
This 699-nucleotide ribosomal RNA is filed under the name uncultured bacterium. RNAcentral's name for it is "bacterial SSU rRNA". It matches the Rfam family "Bacterial small subunit ribosomal RNA", at positions 60 to 758 of the family's 1533-position model. The record is from RNAcentral.